RNAcentral lists this long non-coding RNA (411 nucleotides) under Homo sapiens (human). RNAcentral describes it as "HSALNT0185634". The record is from RNAcentral. Lineage: Eukaryota; Metazoa; Chordata; Mammalia; Primates; Hominidae.
UCUCUCCUUGCUAUAUGCUGUACUUUUUUAUACUGAGGUUGAAGUGGAAAAUGAAUUCUCAUGUGUUAGUAUGCAAAGAAAGGCAUAUUAUUUUUCAUUGUUUUGCAAUUUUUUUCCUUGUUUAACCUCUCCAUAAUUUGUAUACAGCAUCUUCAGUUGUUCCAUAGGGAAAUUGUAAAACCCAAUACAUAUAUCAUAUAGUAAAUGUCUAAAUUGUUAAAGGAGCUUGGUCAUAACUAGGAUCAUACCAAUAUGGACUUAUUUUUAUGCCAGAUUUAAAUACCAGAUUCUAAACCUUUUAUCAAAAUCAUCCAAGAUUAUCUUGGAAAUCCCUGGGAGGCUGAUACACUUUAAAAUCUGGUUUCUGAUAACCAAUAAAUUGAUAUGACAUCAUUGUUAAUAAGCUCCUCA